Molecule: ribosomal RNA, 1466 nt
Filed under: uncultured Bordetella sp.
Lineage: Bacteria; Pseudomonadati; Pseudomonadota; Betaproteobacteria; Burkholderiales; Alcaligenaceae
Description: partial 16S-23S ribosomal RNA intergenic spacer
Rfam family: Bacterial small subunit ribosomal RNA
Source: RNAcentral
GGUUCGAUCAUGGCUCAGAUUGAACGCUGGCGGGAUGCUUUACACAUGCAAGUCGAACGGCAUAAUGGACUUCGGUCUGGUGGCGAGUGGCGAACGGUGAGUAAUGUAUCGGAACGUGCCUAGUAGCGGGGGAUAAUCUACGCGAAAGCGUAGCUAAUACCGCACAUUGCCUCGGGGGAAAGCGGGGACCUUUCGGGCUCGCAUCAUUAGGGCGGCUGACAUCGGAUUAGCUAGUUGCGGGGUAACGGCUCACCGCCGCGACGAUCCGUAGCUGGUUUGAGAGGACGACCAGCCACACUGGGACUGAGACACGGCCCAGACUCCUACGGGAGGCAGCAGUGGGGAAUUUUUGACGCCAAUGGGAAACCCUGAUCCAGCCAUCUCUGGCGUGCGAUGAAGGCUCGGGUUGUAAAGCACUUUUGGCAGGAAAGAAUCGGCACGGGAUAAUACCCUGUGCAACUGACGGUACCUGCAGAAUAAGCACCACAACUACGCCAGCAGCCGCGGUAUACGUAGGUGCGCGUUAAUCGGAAUUACUGGCGUAAAAGCGCGGCAGGCGGCUCCGGUUAAGAUGAAACCCCAGAGCUUAACUUUGGAAACUGCAUUUUUAACUACCGAGCUAGAGUGUGUCAGAGGGAGGUGGAAUUCCGCGUGUAGCAGUGAAAUGCGUAGAUAUGCGGAGGAACACCGAUGGCGAAGGCAGCCUCCUGGGAUAACACUGACGCUCAUGCACGAAAGCGUGGGGAGCAAACAGGAUUAGAUACCCUGGUAGUCCACGCCCCAAACGAUGUCAACCAGCCAGUUGCCUUCGGGCCUCGGUAGCGCAGCUAACGCGUGAAGUUGACCGCCUGGGGAGUACGGUCGCAAGAUUAAAACUCGAAGGAAUUGACGGGAUCUAUGGCUGCUGGUGGAUGAUGACUAAUUCGAUGCAACACGAAAAACCUACUUCAUUCCUUGACAUGUCUGGAACCCCGAAGAGAUUUGGGAGUAGCGCUCGCAAGAGAACCGGGAACACAGGUGCUGCAUGGCUGUCGUCAGCCCGGUCAGGAGAUGUUGGGUUAAGUCCCGCAACGAGCGCAACCUUGUCAUUAGUUGCUACGAAAGGGCAAUUCUAAUGAGACUGCCGGUGACAAACCGGAGGAAGGUGGGGAUGACGUCAAGUCCUCAUGGCCCUUGCGGGUAGGGCUUCACACGUCAUACAAUGGUCGGGACAGAGGGUCGCCAACCCGCGAGGGGGAGCCAAACUUGCGAAACCCGAUCGUAGUCCGGAUCGCAGUCUGCAACUCGACUGCGUGAAGUCGGAAUCGCCAGUAACGCGGAUCAGCAUGUCGCGGUGAAUACGUUCCCGGUCUGUACACACCGCCCGUCACACCAGGGAGUGGGUUUUACCAGAAGUAGUUAGCCUGACCGUAAGGAGGGCGAUUACCACGGUAGGAUUCAUGAUCAGUGAAGCCGUAACAAGGUAG